This 492-nucleotide ribosomal RNA is filed under the name uncultured bacterium. RNAcentral's name for it is "partial 16S ribosomal RNA". It matches the Rfam family "Bacterial small subunit ribosomal RNA", at positions 28 to 507 of the family's 1533-position model. The record is from RNAcentral.
GAUGAACGCUAGCUACAGGCUUAACACAUGCAAGUCGAGGGGAAACGACAUCGAAAGCUUGCUUUUGAUGGGCGUCGACCGGCGCACGGGUGAGUAACGCGUAUCCAACCUGCCCACCACUUGGGGAUAACCUUGCGAAAGUAAGACUAAUACCCAAUGACGUCUCUAGAAGACAUCUGAAAGAGAUUAAAGAUUUAUCGGUGAUGGAUGGGGAUGCGUCUGAUUAGCUUGUUGGCGGGGUAACGGCCCACCAAGGCGACGAUCAGUAGGGGUUCUGAGAGGAAGGUCCCCCACAUUGGAACUGAGACACGGUCCAAACUCCUACGGGAGGCAGCAGUGAGGAAUAGUGGUCAAUGGACGAGAGUCUGAACCAGCCAAGUAGCGUGCAGGAUGACGGCCCUAUGGGUUGUAAACUGCCUUUAUAAGGGAAUAAAGUGAGUCUCGUGAGACUUUUUGCAUGUACCUUAUGAAUAAGGACCGGCUAAUUCCGUG